Molecule: non-coding RNA, 1264 nt
Organism: Triticum urartu
Lineage: Eukaryota; Viridiplantae; Streptophyta; Magnoliopsida; Poales; Poaceae
Source: RefSeq, a predicted model, not a curated record
UAGUGGUUAGCAUAGAACUGUACACAUCUCUUCAAAAAAUAAUCCAUAUAUCAUUGUCUAGAUCGCUGUAAACACUCUAGUUAUAAUCCAUAUACGUGCAGAUCGAGCUGAGUGUUUUUCAGAAGAAAAUAAAUCAAGCUGAGAAGUAUGAUUAAUUCGCUGGCCCUUAUAUAUGUUAGUAGUAAACCAGGCCAUGAUAUUAGUGCAUUGCACACACAUCCAAGAUGAAGAUCUGGAAAUGCGUGCUUCAAGGAGCUCGACAGAAACAUUCACAUCGUGAGGACCAUGCGAUCAGGCUGCUGCUACCUCAGUUUGCAGUAAAAAAAAUUGCAUCCGUUUGGGACCAGCUUCUCAGCGAGCACUAGCAGCAACUGCGGCGGUGAAUGUUGUGGCUUUUAAUCCACUUCCGUAAGCAGGCAAGCCUGAAACAUCCCAGAGCCGUUCAGGGCUCAUUACGCGAUGGAACCACCACCGCGUUUAUUAUAUCAUAGGGCUACCGACUGGACUUCAUCACGAUUCAAUACAUGUUCUUUUCCUUAAACCAUGAGUUAAUUGAGUCCAUACAUGUUUCUUUGACCGGCAGCGGUUGGCGCCCUUAAAGCUGAGCUUGCAUAGGAGGUUUGUGAGUGGCAAUCAUGCUAGAGUCCAAGAUGCAGCUGUUUUCUAUGCAGCCUAGAGAGCCGGGACUGAGAAGGCAGGCAGGCAGAGGCAGGGCAUACACACCACGUCCCCUCUUUCUUUUUCAUCACAUGAGCUCUAUGCCUGUAGAUUGGGCAAAGAACAAGCGGCUCCACGAUCUUUUGCAAAGGUGCUGCCAUCUCCACCGAGUACUAUAUACGCCCUCAUUAUUCUAGUAGCAUCCUCUCUCAGUUCGUUUGCACGAAUACAGAUGCGUUGUUUAACAUGCAGACAAGAGCGUCGCAGCAAAUCGCAUGCAGGCUUGUUUAAUUAAGCACCGUGCACAGUAUCUCUUGCAUGCAACAAUGCAUUGAUAUGAUAAAGAACUGUAUGGUUUCAGAGGAAUCUUGGAACGACAGACAUUUGUGGAACACGAUAUUGUCUAGAAAACUGGUUUUUAACGGCAUCUAGCAUGUGUGCAUGGUGUCAUCAAAAUGAUGAUGAGAUAAUGUGGGCCUCAUCUAGAGAAGAAGCAUGGCAUUCUUUUUCUUGUUUCACAUCUCACUUGUCUCUACAUUGUACACGCAUAUCUCUUUAUUUUUUUUGAGGGGUUGUACAUGCAUAUCUUAAAUAUAUAUGAAAUGUG